RNAcentral lists this small RNA (429 nucleotides) under Cupriavidus taiwanensis. Its description in RNAcentral is "cspA". It matches the Rfam family "cspA thermoregulator". Lineage: Bacteria; Pseudomonadati; Pseudomonadota; Betaproteobacteria; Burkholderiales; Burkholderiaceae. The record is from RNAcentral.
CAAGGGUCGGUGCAGGAUCUUUCAAGCAGCAACCUAGAAGUCCAGGUGCUUGCCCACACGGCGCCACUUUUUCUCCUUGUGUCUUCCUUGAUCGUCAUGCCUUGCCGGCGCUUUUGCCGGUGAGAAAAACUUAUUGAGGAAUCCAGCAUGGAAACCGGUACCGUAAAGUGGUUCAACGAUUCGAAGGGUUUUGGCUUCAUUACGCCUGAUGCAGGCGGCAACGACCUGUUCGCGCACUUCUCUGAAAUCCAGGGCAGCGGCUUCAAGUCGCUGCAAGAAGGCCAGAAGGUGCGUUAUGUCGCCGGCGUCGGCCAGAAGGGCCCGGCCGCGACCAAGAUCGAGCCGAUCUGAGCGCGUCGAACCGAUUUGAGCUGAGCGCCCCGGCGCCAGCUUGAUAAGAAAAGCUCCGCUGCGGCGGAGCUUUUUCAU